AAAUUCUAAAAUUAUAUUUAUUGGCCAAUUCACAGAAAGUGCUGUAGUGAUCACAAAAAUGACUUUGGUUUUAUACAUGUAUGGAUGUACAGAACAAAUUUUAAAAUAACAGACCUAUUUGGAAUAUGAAUUUAAUCAGUCCUGUGGAAAACAUAUGGAUACUAAAAUUUUGAAUUCAUAAAUGACUGUGAAAAUUGACAUGGCUUUUAUGAAGUACGCCACUAUGCCAUGGAGGAGCUUUUGUACAACUUCUUUCUCUGUGUAAAGUUAGGGUUUGUGUACUAUACUGUGUGUCAAAGUUUACCGUACAUUUUCAUUAAGAAAGGGUUGGGUUUUCUUUUUUUUUAAAGAGCUGAUUCAUAUAUGUUUAAAAAAAAUCAUUUCAUAUUAAUAUUUUCAUUUGCAUAUAGUCAUUUAAUUCAUUGUACUGCAUAAAUUGUGUAGAUUCAUGCUUUCAGAUAUGCAUUUAACAUCUGCAACAAGACAUUUCAAGAUACGGUUUAUGGUUGUUUCACAUAAACUACAAGAUAUUUCAUGUAAGAGCAUUUUUCCUGGGCUGAACAGUCUGUUGGUUUGAGACACAUUUACGGAGUACAACCAUUGUAUGUACAACCAUACAGCAUAUGUUUAUUUAAUCCCUUCUCUGGUAUAGUUUUCAUUAUCCAUAGAAGUGGCCUCAACUACACAGAAUUUGGACAGCUAGGAAGCGAUCCCAAGCUACAAAAUCCAUGCUGCCAACUGCAGUUACUGCUCCUUAACAAGAACCAAUGCACUAACACAGAAGCAAUCUGGCAAAUUACGAACUGUGUGGGAAAAAUUGUACAUUUUUGCAGGCAGAUGAAAUAACAUUUUUACUGUCAAGAGAUGAUGACACAUGAAAUAGAAUUAUGCCAGCCAAUUAGAGCACAGCUGUUACAUUCAACAUGAUAAUUUCUCAGCUCUUCAAAAUCCUACUCCCUCAGGGGAGUAUCUGAUUCCUGCCCUGUUGCUCAUCACAAGUCAUGUUUUACAUCUCCUUGCUCAGGAAUUCGUCUUCUUUUUCCUCUCUUUUGUGUUUCAACCUGACCUUCCAAGACUCAUUCAUCUUCCCUCCUGUCCAUCAGACUUUGAGUACUCCUCAUGCCAUGGCUCAUUUUGGGAAGGUGGGCAGAGCAGUGACAGCAAACAGCCAAUGCCAAGGAAGUAAUUAUUUGCUCAUGUGACCUAAACCCACUCCUGGCAAUUAAUUUCCUACAAUAUGGUUUGCACAAAUUACACCCACUAGGGACAUAGAUGUGCUGAGGGAAGCAGAGAACUCCCUAAAGUCACCCCUGGAACCCUCAGUGUUCCUGCUCUCCCCUUCACUCCAAUCCUUGCAAACAGCGCAAAUGAAGAAGAAAUCAAAUUCUAUUUCCCUUGGGUUUUAAGUGAUGCAGUGGUUCUUCCAGCACAAGUAUUCCAGUUCUGGUUUGGAGUUCAGGUACAGGAAGCAGGAGCAGGUGAAGAAAACACAUCAAUGAAAAGACCAAAGCUGCCUUUGUACAUCUUCUCUGUUUGCCUGUGUGGCUUCUGAGCCAGCAAACACAGGCUUGCUUGGGAAAUGAUUGAAAAUAUACUGCAUGGUCAUCAUGCCAGCCAGAGAUCAGAAAUGGAUCAUAAAUUUGCAAUAUAAGGAUCAGCAUGGCAAUUAUCAGAAGAGCUGGCAAAAUUCUAUUUCUUUGUACCAGUUAGUGCCUAUCUAGAAAUCUUGAGCAUUUGUUUUAGAAAGCAGGUGCAUUCUGUUGACAUUUGAGGAGAAGCAGUAUUAUCUGUCUUUAAGUGAAAGUACUAGUUAAUAGCUGCUGUUUAGUGUAGGGACCCUUAAAACCAUGGGCCCAUGAAUGACAGUCUGUUUUUACAAUAAUGACAGCAACCUAAUUUUUAACAAAUUAUACUUUGUAUUACUGUUUGCUUGUCUGUAGUGUUUAUUGGUUGGCUUUGUUAAAUCAUACCCAUUUAAAAGACACUGCCAAAUUAAUAUCAUAUGAGAACUUAUCCAUGGAUUACAAAAAAGAUUUUUUAAAAAUCAAGUUUCAAUUUAAAUUUAUUGUUUAAACUUUGACAACUUAUGCAGUGACAUCAGCAACACAGAACACCUUAACAGAGUGAACUGACAGUGACUCAUUUAAGGAAAUACUAGGGGAUUUAAUUUGUAUAUUAAAGACAUUUCAUGAAAAGGUAAGAAACACAAAACUCAAGGAAUGAAUUGGGAUGAGGAGGGAUUCACAGCUUCUCUAGUAAAUUACCAAAGGCAAUGAACUUGAUAACUAUCUAAAAAUAUUCAAAGGAUAUAAAUCAUGGUUAGAGGAACUAUUUAGAGUGGCUCAAAAGGGUCUAACUGGGACUAAUGAGAUAAAAAUUAUAAAAAGGAUUAUUUAAAUUCAUUUUCAGGAAAAACUUUCUAAUGGUGAACUCUAAUAGACUCUAGAACAAUCUCCCAGGGCAAGCAGUAGAAGCCCCAGGCUUAGAAACAUUUAAGUAGGUUGAAGCACCCCCAUCCCUAACGCUAAAAAAUAUAUUAUAGGAAAGAAUUCUGCACUAUUAGCAUAAUACUCUACUUGCACUACUUUUUCCUUUUGUCUACUAAUAUUUAUUUCUAGGAUUUGAAGUUUACUAUGAACUUCGAAAUACACUGAUGUUGAGAUGAAACAGUUCUCAGGAAGCCCACCCAUAGUGUGUAUUACCCUGCAAAGCAAUAAUCCACCUUGGUGUAUCUUUCCAUCCCUGUCAUGAUGACCCUUUGAACAGAAUUGCCUGUUAACCACAACCAAAAAUUUACUCAACUGGUGGUGCAGUAUUUGUAACAGAAUACGUACAAAAACCCCAUCUCUUUUCAGAUGUACCUCACACUUUUUUUAUCAGUUUGUGGAGAGGCCAAAAAUAAAUGUGCCAGUAGUUGAUUCUGAGAAUGAAGGCAAUAACUUCACCUCUCAGAUUGGCACAGACAUGGUCAUUAUCCUUAAAAAGUUUUAUAUUAUGUAUAUUUUCAAAAAUCAGGAUUCCUAACUGUGUGGCCAUUUAGGAGAUUGUAUCACCACAAAAAGUUUACUUGAGGUCCUUUUCAGUAUGGAAUAUAGUCUGUCUGUCUCCAGCUCCUCAUCAACCCAUAGAGUAUGUUUGUUGUAGAAAAUCUCUAAAACUAAUCAACAACUCUGUGGGCAAAAGGUCAAUUUCUUACCUCAAAUUAAACUGUGUGGUAAACUGUACCCUCAGACUCAAGUCACAGCAGACAGAAUGUUUGCCCCAAUCCCCCUGGGCUGGCCUUGGCUCUAAAUUUUUCUAUUUAAUGCACACACAGUGUAGCAACACCUCUCACGGCCCUGCUCCCUUCCCAGCUCUGCUGGAGGUGCUGUAACUGGAACUCAAGGAGGCAACUUUAGCAUCAACCAAGCUAAAAAUCUGCAAGUUCUCCUUCAUCAUAACAGCCACCACCUCCCCUUGGGCACCAUUCUGUGAUUUUCUUGUACACACAUAUGUAUAUGUAUUCAACACACAUAUGUGUGUAUCGCAUCUAUGUCUGGUCAUCUCGGAACCCUUUGACAUCUGACAUUCAUUCUCUUUCUUGUUCAUCGUGACAGUGUCAGUUCUGGCAUGGAAACAGAAAAUGUUUCAAUUUUCUUACUAUUUGACACUCAAGGUUUUAUGUCUCUUUCUUUUCUACGAGAUUGAAUUUCAACUUUUUUCACAUAAUUGUAAACUCUUUCUGUUAUUCAUGCAGUAUUCUCUUCUGCUUUCCUGUUCACUCUUCCUUAAAUAAUAAUUUGAUUUUCUAGUGGAACUGACUGUAGUUGAUCCAUUCCACAUUCUAAAGAGCUUCCCAGUUAAAACAACUGUCCACCUUCUCCUCUACCAUACAUUAAGCAGUUUGUAGACAAGGAUUUAUUGCCAAUUUCAGUACUGGUUUGAAAUGUCAUUGUAGUCACAGACUUGGCUAGGGUUGUCUGAUCAAGUCUUUUGUACCUGUUUAUAUAUUUAGGUUAGGCAGGAGUAGAAAAAAAAAAAGACAUUGUAAUUUUAAUAACUUUUUGCUUUUUCCCCCCCUUAGUAUAUCCUGAAACCUUCAGCCAAAAAUAGUUUUAUGGGUUAGUACACGAAAGGACACCUGAAAAGAACUUUAUACCCAGGUGGGAAGUUAAAUGCCUCUGAAAACCCAAAACUGUAUCCAGAUUUACACAAAAGGAAUAGGGCUGCAGAAAAGCAUUUUACUCGAUGAAAUUUUCUCGGUUUCUGAAGUAUAAGGAUGGAAUACCAUUGCAAAAUCUUUGUUCCCUAUUUGGAAGCUUCUUCUCAUUGCAUGUGGCAAGCUUUGUGCACCUUUCCCGGGGAAAGCUGAAUGUUUUUAUUGUACAAUGUACUUAACUGGGAAAAAAACUGCUGCUUUUUUGUUCUCAGCACAGACAUAAAUAGUGACAGUACAUGGGCAUGGAGCUUCAACAGCUGAUGAAUGCACAAUUUCCCCAUGAGCUAGUACUCAAAAUAAGAAUGAGGGCUUUUCCUGAACUCUGUUUCACACAUUUGCAGUGCUUCAUGCUGCUGAGUGUGUUUCUUUAGAGGCAGUAACUAAUAAAGCACCAGCCCAGAGCUCUCCACUGUAACCAUUGUGUCUUUCCCUCUGCAUGUGUUUGGAGUCUUCAUCAUGGAGGGCUGGGAGCAGAGCUGCAGGAGAAUUACUGAAUUAUGGUUCACCACCAGGCUCUUUAACAGGGCUAUUCCAAAGGAUUCUAGCAGCACUGUUCCUGUUGCCAGCAGAGACAUGGAAACCAUAACGAGCAAACCACUGGCGAUACCUACUCCAAAGGCAGCAAAAUGCCUCUAGGGAAAAAGUGUACCUGCUCUGGUGCCUGCCUUUUCAUCACCAGGAAUGAAGUUAUGAACAUACAAAACUUCCUGGGUUCAUUUUAUUCUGCUAAGUUUCAAUAAUGAGGGCUACAGUUGUUUUAUUACUUUAAACUCCUAUCUUAGACAGAGGCUUAUGAAAUUAAAGCCCUUGCUCCCCUUUCGUUUUUGCACUGUUCAAGUGUUGUGUAUUUUUAAUUUGUGACCAUGUCUUUUUCAGAGAAAACCAAAAUCAGAAAGAACAUACCAGGCUUGAACCUUGCUAAUCCUACAAAGGUGAUGAAUUAUAAUUACUUUAUGAGAGAUCACUGGAGCAAUUUUCCCAAUAUAUUUAGCAGAAAUAUUUCUUGAGACUGGGUGUGUUAAAAGAGUAUGAUUUUUGCUGUGCAGUAGCUUUAGUGGCUAUCUCUAUUCUUUGUAUCUUUAUUCUUCAUGCUAACAAAAAUGAAGUUGGAUUCCAGGAGAGUCUAGCAAUCAGAAGUCUGAUCACUGGAUACACAAUCUGAGACAUGCAGCUUUAGGGAACCUGAUCCAUUUCAGUUUACAUAACAUCUCACAUAUUGCUUGUUUAUGCCUUUCUUUAUUAAAAAAAAAAAAAAAAAAA
Molecule: long non-coding RNA, 5458 nt
Filed under: Taeniopygia guttata (zebra finch)
Lineage: Eukaryota; Metazoa; Chordata; Aves; Passeriformes; Estrildidae
Description: lncRNA (ENSTGUG00000020727.1)
Source: RNAcentral